CCUACGGGAGGCAGCAGUGGGGAAUAUUGCACAAUGGGGGAAACCCUGAUGCAGCAACGCCGCGUGAGUGAAGAAGUAUUUCGGUAUGUAAAGCUCUAUCAGCAGGGAAGAUAAUGACGGUACCUGACUAAGAAGCUCCGGCUAAAUACGUGCCAGCAGCCGCGGUAAUACGUAUGGAGCAAGCGUUAUCCGGAUUUACUGGGUGUAAAGGGUGCGUAGGUGGCAGUGCAAGUCAGAUGUGAAAGGCCGGGGCUCAACCCCGGAGCUGCAUUUGAAACUGCUCGGCUAGAGUACAGGAGAGGCAGGCGGAAUUCCUAGUGUAGCGGUGAAAUGCGUAGAUAUUAGGAGGAACACCAGUGGCGAAGGCGGCCUGCUGGACUGUUACUGACACUGAGGCACGAAAGCGUGGGGAGCAAACAGGAUUAGAUACCCCAGUAGU
Molecule: ribosomal RNA, 439 nt
Filed under: uncultured Eubacterium sp.
Lineage: Bacteria; Bacillati; Bacillota; Clostridia; Eubacteriales; Eubacteriaceae
Description: bacterial SSU rRNA
Rfam family: Bacterial small subunit ribosomal RNA
Source: RNAcentral